UACAGGGGGUGCAAACGUUGCUCGGAAUCAUUGGGCGUAAAGCGCACGUAGGCGGUUCGUUAUGUCGGAUGUGAAAGCCCUUGGCUUAACCGAGGAAGUGCAUCCGAAACUGGCGAGCUAGAGUACUAAAGAGGAUCGCGGAAUUCCCGGUGUAGAGGUGAAAUUCGUAGAUAUCGGGGGGAACACCGGUGGCGAAGGCGGCGAUCUGGGUAGAUACUGACGCUGAGGUGCGAAAGCGUGGGGAGCAAACAGG
This 253-nucleotide ribosomal RNA is filed under the name uncultured bacterium. RNAcentral describes it as "partial 16S ribosomal RNA". It matches the Rfam family "Bacterial small subunit ribosomal RNA", at positions 524 to 776 of the family's 1533-position model. The record is from RNAcentral.